AUAAAUAUCACAAUAGUGCGAGGGCCGUAUGUUAGGUAACUUUUACGGUUAAUGCGUUUUUUCCCUCGUGAAAUGAAUUUUCUAUUCUAUUCUACUCUAAUCUAUUCUAUUCUAUUCUAUUCUAUUCUAUUCUAUUGCAUUCUAUUAUAUUCUAUUCUAGCAAGAAAAAACUGAACGGCAAUUCAUCUUUUGAGUCUUAAACCUUCUCUAAACUCGAACAAUGCAUUAAAAUAGCCGGUUUUUGUUAUACCUACUCGUCAACUGAAAUUCCAAAUUUUAAUAUAACUUCUGUUUGAAAGUA
Molecule: non-coding RNA, 301 nt
Organism: Paramuricea clavata
Lineage: Eukaryota; Metazoa; Cnidaria; Anthozoa; Malacalcyonacea; Plexauridae
Source: the annotation of a GenBank genome assembly